Saccostrea cuccullata (small rock oyster) is the source of this 1121-nucleotide long non-coding RNA. RefSeq lists it as uncharacterized. The record is from RefSeq and is a predicted model, not a curated record. Lineage: Eukaryota; Metazoa; Mollusca; Bivalvia; Ostreida; Ostreidae. The transcript is spliced from 2 exons.
UAUAAGGAUUUUAUCAUAAUACAAUAUAUGAGGGAUUUUAUUUAUCACCCUCAAAAGUUUUGAAAAUAUUUUCAGUGAAAUAGAAAAAAAAUGAUACUUGUUUUUACCAAAAUUCAUGUCUACAAAAUUCUUUUCUACCUCCUUUCUUUUAAAAAGGGAAUUCAUUAUUUACUUUUAACGAAUUUUCUGAAAAUUGAGAGAAAAGCUAUAUAUUCUAUUUUUUCCACCAAAGUGCUCAUCACAAGGCAUUCGCUACUUUCAGCUUUGUAAAUUAUUUUUUGUCAGUUGCCCAUUAUGGGUUCAUGACAUUUAAAUAUAAACUAAAGCAGAAACAAGAACAUGUUGAUUAUAACCUGUUAUUUUCAUUGUGUUACAUUUUAUUCAUACAUUGUGUUUAUAAAGUUAAUCCGUGUUUAAACUGUUCUAAGCAUUUUCUGACAUCUGAAUUUUUAAAUAAUUAUUUCAUUUUUGAGGAAAAGAAAUGAAGAAUGGGAUUUACUUAAAGUAAAAGAAAUUUUUAGAUACUUUUGGAUCGUAAAUACAUAAAUGCAUAUUUAUCAUGUUUAUGUUAAAUGUUUUACUUUACUUGAGAAUAAGUAAUAUGAAGAAUUUUUGUAGAGCGCACUGGCAAUUAUACAUAAGAUUUUCUUAAUUUUCCUUUACACUUUGAUUUCAAAAAGUAGGUUAAGGAAUAUUUGAACUCUGUAAAUAUGUUUAUGUCAUUAAUACUCUUCCCAAUCCUUAAUUUCCGGCCCAAGGGAUAAUCCCAUAACAAAAGCCAAAGUUGUUUUGAAGGUUGAUGUGUUAUGUACACACGCAUGCGUACUGAAGCUUUCUUUUUUUUCGUAUUCCAGUUGAAUGACGAAUUCGAAGACCUCUGAUUAUAAUUAUUUAAAGCUGUUUUUGCUGAAUGUAUAUCAUAAAUACAUGCUUUACCCGUGAAAAUUGGUGCCCCUUCCUAAAAAUUCAUUUUUUUUUCUGUGUAAAUAGUAUAUAUACUAGUAAUUAUGUAAUUAUUAAAGAAAUGUAAUUUUUGUCCUAAUUGUGGCAAUGUUUCGUUAAUUUGUAUCGUAUUUGCUCAUCAUGCUCAUUGUUAAAAAUAAAUUAUUUGUUACCCUCUA